Molecule: ribosomal RNA, 228 nt
Filed under: uncultured bacterium
Lineage: Bacteria
Description: partial 16S ribosomal RNA
Rfam family: Bacterial small subunit ribosomal RNA
Source: RNAcentral
UGCGUAGGCGGAAAAUUAAGUCAGUGGUGAAAUCCUGCAGCUUAACUGUAGAACUGUCGUUGAUACUGAUUUUCUUGAAUAUAGUUGAGGUAGGCGGAAUGUGUAAUGCAGCGGUGAAAUGCUUAGAUAUUACACAGAACACCGAUUGCGAAGGCAGCUUACUAAGCUAUUAUUGACGCUGAGGCACGAAAGCGUGGGGAGCGAACAGGAUUAGAUACCCUGGUAGUC